This 229-nucleotide ribosomal RNA is filed under the name uncultured bacterium. RNAcentral describes it as "partial 16S ribosomal RNA". It matches the Rfam family "Bacterial small subunit ribosomal RNA", at positions 568 to 796 of the family's 1533-position model. The record is from RNAcentral.
UACGUAGGCGGAAAAUUAAGUCAGUGGUGAAAGCCUACAGCUCAACUGUAGAAUUGCCAUUGAUACUGAUGUUCUUGAGUUCAGUUGAAGUGGGCGGAAUGUGUUGUGUAGCGGUGAAAUGCUUAGAUAUGACACAGAACUCCGAUCGCGAAGGCAGCUAACUAAGCUGAUACUGACGCUGAAGCACGAAAGCGUGGGGAGCAAACAGGAUUAGAUACCCUGGUAGUCC